CCCUUAGAUGUUCUGGGCCGCACGCGUGCUACACUGAGUGGAUCAGCGGGUCAGGUUGCGCGAAAGUGUUUCCUAAUCUUUAAAUCCGCUCGUGAUGGGGAUUGACGGUUGCAAUUUUCCGUCAUGAACGAGGGAUACCUUGUAAGCGCGGGUCAUCAUCCCGCGCUGAAUACGUCCCUGCCCUUUGUACACACCGCCCGUCGCUCCUACCGAUUGAGUGGUCCGGUGAGGCUUUGGGAUCUGAGCGGAAAGAGCGUUUCGCUGUUUCUGCUCGGAAAACUCAGUCGAACCUUAUCAUUUAGAGGAAGGAGAAGUCGUAACA
RNAcentral lists this ribosomal RNA (322 nucleotides) under uncultured eukaryote. Its description in RNAcentral is "partial 18S ribosomal RNA". It matches the Rfam family "Eukaryotic small subunit ribosomal RNA", at positions 1470 to 1796 of the family's 1831-position model. The record is from RNAcentral.